Molecule: transfer RNA, 70 nt
Filed under: Loxodonta africana (African savanna elephant)
Lineage: Eukaryota; Metazoa; Chordata; Mammalia; Proboscidea; Elephantidae
Rfam family: tRNA
About the family: Transfer RNA (tRNA) molecules are approximately 80 nucleotides in length. Their secondary structure includes four short double-helical elements and three loops (D, anti-codon, and T loops). Further hydrogen bonds mediate the characteristic L-shaped molecular structure. tRNAs have two regions of fundamental functional importance: the anti-codon, which is responsible for specific mRNA codon recognition, and the 3' end, to which the tRNAs corresponding amino acid is attached (by aminoacyl-tRNA synthetases). tRNAs cope with the degeneracy of the genetic code in two manners: having more than one tRNA (with a specific anti-codon) for a particular amino acid; and 'wobble' base-pairing, i.e. permitting non-standard base-pairing at the 3rd anti-codon position.
Source: Rfam by way of RNAcentral
CCAUUGGUGGUUCAGUGGUAGAAUUCUCACCUUUGAUGUGGGAGAACUGGGUCCAAUUCCAGCCAAUGCA